This is a long non-coding RNA of Bradysia coprophila, 270 nucleotides long. Lineage: Eukaryota; Metazoa; Arthropoda; Insecta; Diptera; Sciaridae. The record is from RefSeq and is a predicted model, not a curated record.
AUGAAAGGAAAUACGGAUAAGUAUGAUGAACGAAAGAACUACACGAAUGAAAAAAAAACUUGAUCCUCUAACUCGCUGCAGGUUUCCAGUCUUAGCUAUUCGGUUUGUAAAAUACACUUCAUUCGCUAAUUGUUUCCUUUCACUUACUUUAAAUUUCUCGUAUUUUCAGUCAAUUUCUUGUAAUUCCAUCAAUUCCCUCAAUUUCUAGUAUUUUCUUCAACUCUUAUUAAUUACCGGAUACUUCGGCAACUACGAAACUGCAGUAAUUUC